This 82-nucleotide transfer RNA is filed under the name Oscillospiraceae bacterium. RNAcentral describes it as "tRNA-Leu". It matches the Rfam family "tRNA". From Rfam's summary of the family: Transfer RNA (tRNA) molecules are approximately 80 nucleotides in length. The record is from RNAcentral. Lineage: Bacteria; Bacillati; Bacillota; Clostridia; Eubacteriales; Oscillospiraceae.
GCGAGUGUGCUGGAAUAGUUACACAGGCUAGCUUGAGGUGCUAAUGUUGGACGUGUGGGUUCAAGUCCCGUCACUCGCACCA